Molecule: long non-coding RNA, 163 nt
Filed under: Fukomys damarensis (Damara mole-rat)
Lineage: Eukaryota; Metazoa; Chordata; Mammalia; Rodentia; Bathyergidae
Description: lncRNA (ENSFDAG00000029980.1)
Source: RNAcentral
AAUAAAAGUGCCAAAUGGAAGAAUGAGAGGCAAAGAGAAUGGAAUGCUUCACCUAAUUGCCUGGAUGCUGCCUUAGAUCUAAAUGUUGGAAAAUGCUUUACCUUAAUCUUUAUCACUUACCUUACUCUUCAGAGACUGAGUAGUCACUGAUGUUCAUGACCCA